AAAUUUGAAAGCUGGCGUCUUCGGCGUCCGCGUUGUAAUCUCGAGACGUGUUUUCCGUGCGGCUCUAUGGACAAGUCCCUUGGAACAGGGCAUCGUAGAGGGUGAAAAUCCCGUACUUGCCAUGGAAGUACCGUGCUUUGUGAUACACGUUCCAAGAGUCGAGUAGUUUGGGAUUGCUGCUCAAAGUGGGUGGUAGACUCCAUCUAAAGCUAAAUAUCGGGGAGAGACCGAUAGCGAACAAGUACCGUGAGGGAAAGAUGAAAAGCACUUUGGAAAGAGAGUUAAAAGUACGUGAAAUUGUCGAAAGGGAAGCACUUGAAGUCAGCCAUGCUGCUUGAGACUCAGCCUGGCUUUUGCUUGGUGUAUUUCUCGGUAGCAAGCCAGCAUUGGUUUGUGUCGUCGGAGAAGCGUAUGGGGAAUGUGGCAUCCUCGGAUGUGUUAUAGCCCUGUGCUGGAUACGACGACGCAGACCAAGGAACGCAGUGU
This 486-nucleotide ribosomal RNA is filed under the name Malassezia restricta. RNAcentral describes it as "eukaryotic LSU rRNA". It matches the Rfam family "Eukaryotic large subunit ribosomal RNA", at positions 111 to 601 of the family's 3401-position model. The record is from RNAcentral. Lineage: Eukaryota; Fungi; Basidiomycota; Malasseziomycetes; Malasseziales; Malasseziaceae.